UGGGGAUGACGUCAAGUCAUCAUGGCCCUUACGGCCAGGGCUACACACGUGCUACAAUGGUCGGUACAAAGGGGUUGCCAAGCCGCGAGGUGGAGCUAAUCCCAUAAAACCGAUCGUAGUCCGGAUCGCAGUCUGCAACUCGACUGCGUGAAGUCGGAAUCGCUAGUAAUCGUGAAUCAGAAUGUCACGGUGAAUACGUUCCCGGGCCUU
Molecule: ribosomal RNA, 210 nt
Filed under: uncultured Pseudomonas sp.
Lineage: Bacteria; Pseudomonadati; Pseudomonadota; Gammaproteobacteria; Pseudomonadales; Pseudomonadaceae
Description: partial 16S ribosomal RNA
Rfam family: Bacterial small subunit ribosomal RNA
Source: RNAcentral